RNAcentral lists this long non-coding RNA (700 nucleotides) under Pongo abelii (Sumatran orangutan). RNAcentral describes it as "lincRNA". Lineage: Eukaryota; Metazoa; Chordata; Mammalia; Primates; Hominidae. The record is from RNAcentral.
GGAACACUGAGAACCUGAAUGGGAAAUUAAGAAGAACCAGAUUAUUUCUAUUCUUCCACCAGCCAAGUUUUGAAGAUUUGUUUUGAAUCUUGAAGAGAGAGCAGCAAGCCUUUUGGCCUAUGGAUUCCAAGAGUCACAUUCCAACAGGUGAUAUCAAAAGGACAAGGAAGCAGGGAGAGGUGACUUGCACGGAAGGUGCCCAGCGAGAUGUCUGGGCACGGAAGGUGCCCAGCAAAGCAUUUGUACCCCUCUUAUCCACAAGAGAAGUCCCUCCGGGUAUUUCAGAUGAUACCUGAAAGGAUGAUAAGGCAGGGAAUCAGAGGCUGACACCACUAUUGGAUGGACUGGGGGAGUGAAGAUCAAAAGGUCAUUUUCAGGAAAAAAAUAAAUUAGGAAGUACUGGGAUAAGACAGAAGCCAUCACCAAUAACUCCACAUCUACAGCUCCAAAGCAUGCGAUUCAGAAGGAUCCUUGUUGAUAUUGGCCAUCACCUUGUGUCACAAUACCAGUGGCCGCAGAGAUUUAAAUAAAUGCAUCCCAGAUACAGAGUUAAAAGCAUGCCAACAAUGAGGGCUGUGUGGUUUGGAGAAGAGCAGAAGAGCACACUGCUUUCAGUCAGGCAGAGGCAGAUUAGAUUGCCUGCCACCUCCAGUGGGAUGGUGGCUCCGGACAGGUCACUCACCUUCUCUAAAACCCACCU